This 442-nucleotide ribosomal RNA is filed under the name uncultured bacterium. RNAcentral describes it as "SSU rRNA". It matches the Rfam family "Bacterial small subunit ribosomal RNA", at positions 26 to 518 of the family's 1533-position model. The record is from RNAcentral.
AGAACGAACGCUGGCGGCAGGCCUAACACAUGCAAGUCGAACGCCCCGCAAGGGAGUGGCAGACGGGUGAGUAACACGUGGGAACAUACCCUUCGGUUCGGAAUAACUCAGGGAAACUUGAGCUAAUACCGGAUACGUCCUGGCGGAGAAAGAUUUAUCGCCGAAGGAUUGGCCCGCGUCCGAUUAGCUAGUUGGUGAGGUAAUGGCUCACCAAGGCGACGAUCGGUAGCUGGUCUGAGAGGAUGAUCAGCCACAUUGGGACUGAGACACGGCCCAAACUCCUACGGGAGGCAGCAGUGGGGAAUAUUGGACAAUGGGCGCAAGCCUGAUCCAGCCAUGCCGCGUGAGUGAUGACGGCCUUAGGGUUGUAAAGCUCUUUCGUCAGGGACGAUAAUGACGGUACCUGAAGAAGAAGCCCGGCUAACUUCGCGCCAGCAGCCGC